RNAcentral lists this ribosomal RNA (462 nucleotides) under uncultured bacterium. RNAcentral describes it as "partial 16S ribosomal RNA". It matches the Rfam family "Bacterial small subunit ribosomal RNA", at positions 29 to 507 of the family's 1533-position model. The record is from RNAcentral.
AUGAACGCUGACAGAAUGCUUAACACAUGCAAGUCGAUGGGGAAGUGGUGCUUGCACCCUGGUAACCAUGGCGGACGGGUGAGUAACGCGUAAGGAACUUGCCUGCGGGACUGGGAUAACAGCAGGAAACUGCUGAUAAUACCGGAUAAGGUCAUUAAGCUGCAUAGCUUAGUGAUGAAAGGAGACGCCUGCGGAGAGCCUUGCGUCCUAUUAGCUAGUUGGAGGGGUAACGGCCCACCAAGGCGAAGAUAGGUAGCCGGCCUGAGAGGGUGGACGGCCACAAGGGGACUGAGAUACGGCCCUUACUCCUACGGGAGGCAGCAGUGGGGAAUAUUGGACAAUGGGGGCAACCCUGAUCCAGCAAUUCUGUGUGCACGAAGACGGUUUUCGGAUUGUAAAGUGCUUUCAGCAGGGAAGAAGGAAGUGACGGUACCUGCAGAAGAAGCGACGGCUAAAUACGUG